CCCGUGGGUUCCUUUGGGUCGAAACAGGGGAUCUCACAAUCCCCUAUUGGCUGGCCGGUCGGCGGUGCAACUGGCGUGGGGCGGCCGUCGGCAAGAGGGGGGACGGCCCAACAACAAGAGGAGGGCCAAACCGGUGGUCAGCGAUGACCACCGACGUCGAAAAUCAAAGAAAAAUGAUAAAAAUAAAAGUUUUUUCCGCAACAAAAUCCGGC
This 212-nucleotide long non-coding RNA is filed under the name Elaeis guineensis (African oil palm). RNAcentral's name for it is "long non-coding RNA (EGUI_LNC031311)". The record is from RNAcentral. Lineage: Eukaryota; Viridiplantae; Streptophyta; Magnoliopsida; Arecales; Arecaceae.